This 254-nucleotide ribosomal RNA is filed under the name uncultured bacterium. RNAcentral's name for it is "partial 16S ribosomal RNA". It matches the Rfam family "Bacterial small subunit ribosomal RNA", at positions 793 to 1055 of the family's 1533-position model. The record is from RNAcentral.
GUCCACACCGUAACGAUGAUUACUAGGUGUUGGAGGAUUGACCCUUCAGUGCCGCAGUUAACACAAUAAGUAAUCCACCUGGGAGUACGACCGCAAGGUUGAAACUCAAAGGAAUUGACGGGCCCGCACAAGCAGUGGAGUAUGUGGUUUAAUUCGACGCAACGCGAAGAACCUUACCAAGUCUUGACAUCCUGCGACGAACAUAGAAAUAUGUUUCCUUCGGGACGCAGAGACAGGUGGUGCAUGGUUGUCGU